Cyprinus carpio carpio is the source of this 690-nucleotide long non-coding RNA. The record is from Ensembl. Lineage: Eukaryota; Metazoa; Chordata; Actinopteri; Cypriniformes; Cyprinidae.
CGCACUGCGCGCGUCCCCGUGCGUGUUCUUGGCGGUGGACGCUCGCGAGGGGUCGUGUUUCUAUAACUGUCACAUAGAAAAUACAGACAAAAUAUUAGAUCGUUUUAAUUCACCUUACUCGACUUGUGUAUUAAAAUACACAAAAUUGACCAUAAUAUGGAGCAGUCUGUUGUCAAUGUAAAAAACCUGUCAGAGAAACUGCUCCAGGUGAUUAUUUGAGACUCUCUUCAAAGCGAUUUCAACUCUAGAUGCAGCAGCAAACCUACAGGAUUCACAGAUGGCGAGGAAAAUGGGAAAAACAUGGCUCGAUUGUAAACAACCCAAAGCUGCUGCUGAUUUUUUGAGCCUUGCUGUCAGUAGCCUGGAGAUUCUGCAGAAGAUACAAACACACCAAAGGGAGACAUAGAGAAAGACUUGCUGCCGGUUUUGUCUUAUCAAGCUGAAUCUGAAGUUUCUCAAGAGCAACAUUUAGAGGCAGUGUUAUGCAUACAGCGAUGUAAAGAAAAGCUUCUUCGUCUCCUUAAAGACGUGGAAAAACUGUCUCUGUGUCAAGUGAUGUCAUCGCUUUAUUUGAGAAAUAGAUUUAGAAAAUUCAAACCAUAAAAAGGAAAUAAACCACACUCUUUUGUGCAACUUUGGGGUCGGCACUUUCAGCCAGGGAAAGCAUGAAGAGAGCACAUUUUGGCUAAG